CCCGACAUAGCUCAGUUGGAAGAGCAUGAGACUGUAAAUCUCAGGGUCGCUGGUUCGAACCCGGCUGUUGGGA
Molecule: transfer RNA, 73 nt
Filed under: Melampsora larici-populina 98AG31
Lineage: Eukaryota; Fungi; Basidiomycota; Pucciniomycetes; Pucciniales; Melampsoraceae
Description: tRNA-Tyr (GTA) (tRNA-Tyr-GTA-5-1)
Rfam family: tRNA
About the family: Transfer RNA (tRNA) molecules are approximately 80 nucleotides in length. Their secondary structure includes four short double-helical elements and three loops (D, anti-codon, and T loops).
Source: RNAcentral